AGCAGCCGCGGUAAUUCCAGCUCCAAUAGCGUAUAUUAAAGUUGCUGCAGUUAAAAAGCUCGUAGUUGAAUUUCGGGUCAAUAUGUUGGUCGUGCCUUGGUACGUACUAGCUUAUUGAUUUCUCCUUCUGACGAACCAUGAUGUCAUUAAUUUGGUGUCAUGGGGAAUCAGGACUGUUACUUUGAAAAAAUUAGAGUGUUUAAAGCAGGCUCGCGCUUGAAUACAUUAGCAUGGAAUAAUGAAAUAGGACAUUUGAUUCUAUUUUGUUGGUUUCUAGGAUCGAUGUAAUGAUUAAUAGGGAUAGUUGGGGGCAUUAGUAUUCAAUUGUCAGAGGUGAAAUUCUUGGAUUUAUUGAAGACUAACUACUGCGAAAGCAUUUGCCAAGGAUGUUUUCAUUAAUCAAAACGAAAGUUAGGGAUCGAAGACGAUCAGAUACCGUCGUAGUCUUAACCAUAAACUAUGCCGACUAGGGAUCGGAUGAUGUUAAUUUUUAAUGACUCAUUCGGCGCCUUACGGGAAA
RNAcentral lists this ribosomal RNA (520 nucleotides) under uncultured Glomus. RNAcentral describes it as "SSU rRNA". It matches the Rfam family "Eukaryotic small subunit ribosomal RNA", at positions 569 to 1097 of the family's 1831-position model. The record is from RNAcentral. Lineage: Eukaryota; Fungi; Glomeromycota; Glomeromycetes; Glomerales; Glomeraceae.